AACGCUGGCGGCGUGCUUAACACAUGCAAGUCGAACGAUGAAGCCCAGCUUGCUGGGUGGAUUAGUGGCGAACGGGUGAGUAACACGUGAGUAACCUGCCCUUGACUCUGGGAUAAGCCUGGGAAACUGGGGUCUAAUACUGGAUAUGACUUCUCAUCGCAUGGUGGGGGUGGAAAGAUUUAUUGGUCUUGGAUGGACUCGCGGCCUAUCAGCUUGUUGGUGAGGUAAUGGCUCACCAAGGCGACGACGGGUAGCCGGCCUGAGAGGGUGACCGGCCACACUGGGACUGAGACACGGCCCAGACUCCUACGGGAGGCAGCAGUGGGGAAUAUUGCACAAUGGGCGCAAGCCUGAUGCAGCGACGCCGCGUGAGGGAUGACGGCCUUCGGGUUGUAAACCUCUUUCAGUAGGGAAGAAGCGAGAGUGACGGUACCUGCAGAAGAAGCGCCGGCUAACUACGUG
RNAcentral lists this ribosomal RNA (462 nucleotides) under uncultured bacterium. RNAcentral describes it as "bacterial SSU rRNA". It matches the Rfam family "Bacterial small subunit ribosomal RNA", at positions 32 to 507 of the family's 1533-position model. The record is from RNAcentral.